This 484-nucleotide ribosomal RNA is filed under the name uncultured bacterium. RNAcentral's name for it is "partial 16S ribosomal RNA". It matches the Rfam family "Bacterial small subunit ribosomal RNA", at positions 30 to 507 of the family's 1533-position model. The record is from RNAcentral.
AUUGAACGCUGGCGGCAGGCCUAACACAUGCAAGUCGAGCGGAUGAAGGGAGCUUGCUCCUGGAUUCAGCGGCGGACGGGUGAGUAAUGCCUAGGAAUCUGCCUGGUAGUGGGGGAUAACGUCCGGAAACGGGCGCUAAUACCGCAUACGUCCUGAGGGAGAAAGUGGGGGAUCUUCGGACCUCACGCUAUCAGAUGAGCCUAGGUCGGAUUAGCUAGUUGGUGGGGUAAAGGCCUACCAAGGCGACGAUCCGUAACUGGUCUGAGAGGAUGAUCAGUCACACUGGAACUGAGACACGGUCCAGACACCUACGGGAGGCAGCAGUGGGGAAUAUUGGACAAAGGGCGAAAGCCUGAUCCAGCCAUGCCGCGUGUGUGAAGAAGGUCUUCGGAUUGUAAAGCACUUUAAGUUGGGAGGAAGGGCAGUAAGUUAAUACCUUGCUGUUUUGACGUUACCAACAGAAUAAGCACCGGCUAACUUCGUG